RNAcentral lists this transfer RNA (87 nucleotides) under Coprothermobacter sp. RNAcentral's name for it is "tRNA-Leu". It matches the Rfam family "tRNA". Rfam says of the family: Transfer RNA (tRNA) molecules are approximately 80 nucleotides in length. Their secondary structure includes four short double-helical elements and three loops (D, anti-codon, and T loops). The record is from RNAcentral. Lineage: Bacteria; Pseudomonadati; Coprothermobacterota; Coprothermobacteria; Coprothermobacterales; Coprothermobacteraceae. RNAcentral also lists the same sequence under 10 other names.
GCCGAAGUGGCGGAACUGGCAGACGCAGCAGACUCAAAAUCUGCCGGGGUAACACCCGUGUGGGUUCAAUUCCCUCCUUCGGCACCA